UUUUACUCUAUCUACACAAUAAGCAGUAAGAGUAAAAGCACGGUUUAAUAAUACACAAUAGGAGAGUGCGAGUUUACACGAAUGGGAAACCCUACAAUUUUUGGGUAUUUGCACUGCCGAAAUAAGUAAUAUAACGUAUUCGAAGUAUCUAAGCAAAUUAUAAUUUCACACAAAAGAAAUAAAAAACACACAAGUGAAAUAAUGGCAAUAACACAAAAAUAUAACGAUCAACAUCCAAAGUGGAUCAUGAUUCAAGCUUCUGACACCAUUUUUAAAUUAUUUAUCGGCGUGGUUCGUCUCAAAUUAUGGUCGAAUGUUGGCAGUUGAAGGAUAUUUUCCCAUGUGCUACAUCUGAAUAAGGGCAAUUUACUCUUAAAAGUCCUUCA
This is a long non-coding RNA of Centruroides sculpturatus (bark scorpion), 386 nucleotides long. RefSeq lists it as uncharacterized. The transcript has 3 exons. Lineage: Eukaryota; Metazoa; Arthropoda; Arachnida; Scorpiones; Buthidae. The record is from RefSeq and is a predicted model, not a curated record.